AAAAAAUCCCAACCCUCCAAGAUGUACUCCCGAUAGCUGUAAAGCCUUAUGUUUCACAAAGAAAAAACUACUGAUAAGUAAAUGCCUUACUAGAAAUUUCGGAUGCCAGUGUGAGAUUGACUGCGCUAACUGAUUUUUUAUAUACAUUAAAACUCGAUUAAUAUUUAUAAUAAUACUAUGUAUUUGUCAUAAAUAAAUAUAAAUAACAAAUAUUGAUACAU
This 221-nucleotide long non-coding RNA is filed under the name Brassica napus (rape). Its description in RNAcentral is "long non-coding RNA (BNAP_LNC004207)". The record is from RNAcentral. Lineage: Eukaryota; Viridiplantae; Streptophyta; Magnoliopsida; Brassicales; Brassicaceae.